GACGGAAGGUGCAAGCGUUGCUCGGAAUCACUGGGCGUAAAGGGUGCGUAGGCGGCCGUGCAAGUCUGGCGUGAAAGCCCCGGGCUCAGCCCGGGAAGUGCGCUCGAAACUGCGCGGCUCGAGUGCCGGAGGGGAGAGUGGAAUUCCUGGUGUAGCGGUGAAAUGCGUAGAUAUCGGAAGGAACAUCAGUGGCGAAAGCGGCUUCCUGGUCCAGCACCGACGUUCAGGCACGAAAGCGUGGGGAGCAAACAGG
RNAcentral lists this ribosomal RNA (253 nucleotides) under uncultured bacterium. RNAcentral's name for it is "partial 16S ribosomal RNA". It matches the Rfam family "Bacterial small subunit ribosomal RNA", at positions 524 to 776 of the family's 1533-position model. The record is from RNAcentral.